UCUUUAGUGGUGAUUUCUGAUAUUUUGGCGC
This 31-nucleotide non-coding RNA is filed under the name Homo sapiens (human). Lineage: Eukaryota; Metazoa; Chordata; Mammalia; Primates; Hominidae. The record is from RNAcentral.